RNAcentral lists this ribosomal RNA (710 nucleotides) under uncultured Enterobacteriaceae bacterium. RNAcentral's name for it is "bacterial SSU rRNA". It matches the Rfam family "Bacterial small subunit ribosomal RNA", at positions 793 to 1502 of the family's 1533-position model. Lineage: Bacteria; Pseudomonadati; Pseudomonadota; Gammaproteobacteria; Enterobacterales; Enterobacteriaceae. The record is from RNAcentral.
AGUCACGCUGUAAACGAUGUCGAUUUGGAGGUUGUUCCCUUGAGGAGUGGCUUCCGGAGCUAACGCGUUAAAUCGACCGCCUGGGGAGUACGGCCGCAAGGUUAAAACUCAAAUGAAUUGACGGGGGCCCGCACAAGCGGUGGAGCAUGUGGUUUAAUUCGAUGCAACGCGAAGAACCUUACCUACUCUUGACAUCCAGAGAAUUUAGCAGAGAUGCUUUAGUGCCUUCGGGAACUCUGAGACAGGUGCUGCAUGGCUGUCGUCAGCUCGUGUUGUGAAAUGUUGGGUUAAGUCCCGCAACGAGCGCAACCCUUAUCCUUUGUUGCCAGCACGUUAUGGUGGGAACUCAAAGGAGACUGCCGGUGAUAAACCGGAGGAAGGUGGGGAUGACGUCAAGUCAUCAUGGCCAUUACGAGUAGGGCUACACACGUGCUACAAUGGCGUAUACAAAGAGAAGCGACCUCGCGAGAGCAAGCGGAACUCAUAAAGUACGUCGUAGUCCGGAUUGGAGUCUGCAACUCGACUCCAUGAAGUCGGAAUCGCUAGUAAUCGUAGAUCAGAAUGCUACGGUGAAUACGUUCCCGGGCCUUGUACACACCGCCCGUCACACCAUGGGAGUGGGUUGCAAAAGAAGUAGGUAGCUUAACCUUCGGGAGGGCGCUUACCACUUUGUGAUUCAUGACUGGGGUGAAGUCGUAACAAGGUAACCA